Molecule: ribosomal RNA, 386 nt
Filed under: uncultured bacterium
Lineage: Bacteria
Description: bacterial SSU rRNA
Rfam family: Bacterial small subunit ribosomal RNA
Source: RNAcentral
CGGGUGCGGAACACGUGUGCAACCUACCUUUAUCUGGAGGAUAGCCUUUCGAAAGGAAGAUUAAUACUCCAUAAUAUAUUGACUGGCAUCAGUUGGUAUUGAAAGCUCCGGCGGAUAAAGAUGGGCACGCGCAAGAUUAGCUAGUUGGUGAGGUAACGGCUCACCAAGGCUACGAUAGGUAGGGGUCCUGAGAGGGAGAUCCCCCACACUGGUACUGAGACACGGACCAGACUCCUACGGGAGGCAGCAGUGAGGAAUAUUGGACAAUGGGCGCAAGCCUGAUCCAGCCAUGCCGCGUGCAGGAAGACGCAUCUAUGGUGUGUAAACUGCUUUUGUACGGGAAGAAACACUCCCUCGUGAGGGAGCUUGACGGUACCGUAAGAAUA